AACGCACCUUGCGCUCCAUGGCAUUCCGUGGAGCAUGCCUGUUUGAGUGCCGCGAAAUCUCCCACCCCUAGCGGUUGCCGCAAGGCGCCGCCGGGCGGCGGGGUUGGUUGGGUGCCGCUGCCUGGGCUUUGGCCCAGGCUCGCCCGAAAUGCAUGAGCGCUUAGCACUCGCACCGUCUCGAGGGAAGGCGGCGGAGCUGGCAUCUGCGCAUGGCAUGAUACGUCAUUUGCUGUGUGGCAGCCCAGCGACCCGAGAGUGUGUGUGCGCUACUACACGCCCUUUCAUUUCUGGUCUCAAAUCAGGUAGGAUCACCCGCUGAACUUAA
RNAcentral lists this non-coding RNA (325 nucleotides) under Nectria sp. (in: ascomycete fungi). The record is from RNAcentral. RNAcentral also lists the same sequence under 3 other names. Lineage: Eukaryota; Fungi; Ascomycota; Sordariomycetes; Hypocreales; Nectriaceae.